Molecule: transfer RNA, 76 nt
Filed under: Corynebacterium pseudotuberculosis
Lineage: Bacteria; Bacillati; Actinomycetota; Actinomycetes; Mycobacteriales; Corynebacteriaceae
Description: tRNA-Glu
Source: RNAcentral
GGUACCACUUACCACCCAAAGCUCAGCGCUUUGGGUGGUUUUUGUUGUGCUGGUGGGGCGUAGGGGAGGGGCGGGG